RNAcentral lists this long non-coding RNA (691 nucleotides) under Macaca nemestrina (pig-tailed macaque). Its description in RNAcentral is "lncRNA (ENSMNEG00000045687.1)". Lineage: Eukaryota; Metazoa; Chordata; Mammalia; Primates; Cercopithecidae. The record is from RNAcentral.
AUGGAACUUUUUGGUUCUGCAUCUUUGCAGUUAAAAGAAUAUUGGCAGAGGAAGAGCCCUGGCGUUCCAGCAGGAGCUAACAGGAAAAAGAAAAUCAAUGGCAGUAGCCCUGACACAGCCACUUCUGGUGGUCACCGCUCACCUGUGGAUUCAGCAACAGGUGUCUAUAGGGAGGGCCCUGUGUCAUCUACUACCCUGAAAGAUCUAGAGGUUCGCACAUUGAAGGAGGAGAAGAAGCGUGAGAUACAUCGGGUACAGAAGCUUGGGAGGAGCUUGUUCAAACUCAAACACCAGAGGGGUAAGAUGGGGCUGGCAUGACCUGGGAGCAGGACUGGCAUCAGAGGACUGUGGGGGUGGCUUAGAACGCCCCAGGGAGGUGGGUGGAUGGAAGGGCUUUGAGGCAGAGGGAGAGAGGUCUGUGCCAGGAGAGCUGCAGGCCUUGUCAUCUGCUUGAGCCUUGGUGUCCCCAUCAGCAAAGAGGGAGGAGUGCCCAUUGUCAGCCACCCACAGUGCUCUCCAUUGAAAGUGGCUUGGAAGAUUAGCUACCAUCUGGGUGCGAGGAAUCCUUAGCAGUGAGGCAAGUUUGGGAAGCCUGAGAGGAGGAGCUCUGCACCAAUGGAGAUUUUUUUUUUUUUUGAGAAUCCGAGAGACCCUUAUGUCUGUUUCCUUUCUAGCUAAACCCAGGGCCCAG